UACGCAAAAAUCCGGUUUCUGAGGCAUCCUUGCUCCAGGCAGGUAUACCCAGUCCUCUGCUAAUAAGUCCGAGGGCGAUUUAGCGUUGCAGCCUAUGGGAAAGACUUCGCUUUCUUGCUCCUUGGACCGGUGAUUGCAUAUUUGUUCCUUCUGGGCUCACACUUUCCCAACCGGUCGUUAUCCUCCCACAUGAUUUAUUUCUAGAAAAAAAAUUGGUAAGUGCUACAGUUCCCACCCCUUCAACCGAAUGCCUGUGACAGCUCCGUGUUCAAGUGGAAUGCAGGGACACAAAAUGCACAGACCAUACAUGCAUCCUAAAGGAAGAGGAGAGAGGAGGAAAUGGGAAGAAGAAAAAAAGAAAGGAAGCUUCCUCAUCUAUAAAAUGGAGAUGGUAAUUCAUGGGGUUGUAAAGAGAAACAGAAGCAAUAAUCCGUGUGAAACCACUCUGUAAAAUAAUUGUUUGUGAAAAGUACACAUAAGUCAUAACUCCUACCCCUCAGGAUAUUCUCUUUUAAGGAGUCUAGACCCAUACACUUUUAACUUUUAACUCCAGAGCAAGAUAGUUUAAGAACAAUAUCUGGUUGGUGUAGUGGUGCGUUCCUGUAACGCUGGCUACUCUCCUGGCUGAGGCAAGAGAAUCACAAGUUCAAAAAUAGUCUGGAUAAUUUUGGAAAAACUUGUCUCAAAAUUUUUGAAAAGAAAUGGGGAUGUAGCUCAGUGAUAGAGUGUUUGCCUAGUGUGUUUGAGGCCUGGGUUUAUUCCCCAGACUCCAACAACUGUCACUUUUAUUCAUUUAUUUAUUUAUUUAUACACUAAAAUAAGUUUAUUGAGUUAUUUCUAUGUAUCAUUUAACCAAGGAUACUGCAGUAUCCUUAGUUAGACCCUGUUGCUGCCUUCAAAAAGUAUGUAGUCUAUUCUGGAAACAGGUAUUACCAUCUGGGGUGGUCAUCAAAUGUGCUGACUUCUGGCUUCCAGCUUUUUCUUCCUCACUCAUCUUGCCCUGUGCCUAACAAAGUGCUUCAUCUAUAGUGUGCUCUCAUUAGUGAAUGCCUUGAAUUCAGAAGAGUCAUUUCUUGUACUGAGAUGGAUACAUAAAACACUGCAGACCAUGAAUAAACAAUAUGGGAGAUGGGAAACUGUGUCA
Molecule: long non-coding RNA, 1144 nt
Filed under: Urocitellus parryii (Arctic ground squirrel)
Lineage: Eukaryota; Metazoa; Chordata; Mammalia; Rodentia; Sciuridae
Description: lncRNA (ENSUPAG00010016479.1)
Source: RNAcentral